UUUAAGGUUUAAUCUGCUCAAUGAUUAUUUAAAUUGCCGCAGUAUUUUGACUGUGCAAAGGUAGCAUAAUAAUUAGUUUCUUUAUUGGGAACUGGAAUGAAUGAUUGGACGAGAAAAUUUCUGUCUCUUUAUUAUUUUAAUUGAAUUUUACUUUUAAGUUAAAAGGCUUAAAUUUUAUUAGAGGACGAGAAGACCCUAUAGAGUUUAAUUUUUAUUUAAAUAAUUAUUUUUAGUAUUUAUAUAUAUUAUUUAAAUAAAAAUUUAGUUGGGGUGACUAAAAGAUAAGAAUAACUCUUUUAAUUUUUAUCAAUUAUUUUUGAUUAUAAAAUCUUUAUUUUUAAUUUUAAAAUAAAUUACCUUAGGGAUAACAGCGUAAUUCUUUUUUAAAGUUCUUAUUAAAAGAAGAGUUUGCGACCUCGAUGUUGGAUUAAAAUUAAUUUUAGGUGUAGAAGCUUGAAAAUUAAGUCUGUUCGACUUUUAAAAUUUUACAUGAUCUGAGUUUAAACCGGUGUGAGCCAGGUUGGUUUCUA
Molecule: ribosomal RNA, 530 nt
Filed under: Pteroptyx tener
Lineage: Eukaryota; Metazoa; Arthropoda; Insecta; Coleoptera; Lampyridae
Description: partial large subunit ribosomal RNA
Rfam family: Bacterial large subunit ribosomal RNA
Source: RNAcentral